GCCAGCAUGGUAUAGUGGUUUGAGUGUUAGACUUGGACUCUGGGAGUUUAGGGUUCGAAUCUCCACUCAGCCA
Non-coding RNA from Phrynosoma platyrhinos (Desert horned lizard), 73 nucleotides. NCBI's taxonomy places the organism in Eukaryota, Metazoa, Chordata, Lepidosauria, Squamata, Phrynosomatidae. The record is from the annotation of a GenBank genome assembly.